RNAcentral lists this long non-coding RNA (462 nucleotides) under Mytilus galloprovincialis (Mediterranean mussel). The record is from RNAcentral. Lineage: Eukaryota; Metazoa; Mollusca; Bivalvia; Mytilida; Mytilidae.
GUGCUAUAUAAAGAUUAAUUAACAAAGAUUGACACGCGUAGUUGUAAAAUAAAUUAAGCCGAUUAAUCAAAUUAACAAAGUUAACCAUCAAAAGUUUAAAAGAAAAAUUCAGCAAUUUAACAUUUUUUUUAGAUUAAAAAAUUAGAUUACCAAAUUAAGACGAAGUAAGCCAGACGAAUAAGAGUAGGUUGAUCCUACUUCUUCUCUCAAACAAGUCAAACAACAGAACGUAGAACUGCUGGAUGUUACCAAGAAAUUGAUGUCUUGUAAAGAUAACUGUUGACAGUCAUAGUGGUACCACGAAUUGCAAGAGUCACACUGUACUGAGUUCUUGGUGCAAUUCUGUCUGCAGUCACCACAUGGCCAGAAAACCGACCUUUUUAGGUACGAAAUUUUGCGUUUUGGCAUGUUGACUUUGUAGAUAAACUUUAGUACUUUGAUGAUAAAUUUUGUGAGAAUUUU